Corapipo altera (White-ruffed manakin) is the source of this 1929-nucleotide long non-coding RNA. RefSeq lists it as uncharacterized. The record is from RefSeq and is a predicted model, not a curated record. Lineage: Eukaryota; Metazoa; Chordata; Aves; Passeriformes; Pipridae. The transcript is spliced from 10 exons.
CUUUCAGAAGGAUAAUCUGAUUAUUAGAAAAUUCUUUUUUCUUUUUCUUGCAAGCAUUGGAACUUGGAUGUGACAUAAAGAGGCUAAUUAAAAUGGGGAACAAAUUAGAUUAAUUUCCAUGGAUAUAAAAGUGAUAUAAAAGUCUUGUUCUCAACAGUGACUCCAUAAUAGAACAAUUUCAUUUAUGCCUAAGCAGGUCCUUAUUCUGUCUAGUGAGGAUUGCCACCAGUGUCUUACUGACAAGGUUUUUAUUAUUUCUUUGACAGUUUGAUAGUAAGUCAGUGCUUGCUUCUGGGUUUUCAGUCUCUUAAAACCUGGAUUAUGAAGGCUACUAUAAAAAUAUGGAUAAAAUGCUACCUCCCCAGAGCCCCAUCCGUUAUAGCCUGCACCCCAAUGUGGAGAUUGCUUUUGUAAUAACUGCAAACAACAUGCUCCAUAUGCUAUUAGAGCUGCAAUUCAAAUACUCAGUCACUGGGAAAGGAGUCUCCCAAGCUGUAGAAGACAAGAAGUGGAUACACAAGACACUUGCCUCAUGCAAUGUGGUAUCUCUUGAGGAUGAAGGCAGAGCUAGAUGACAUAGAGAAAAAAAAAAAUCUUUCGGAAGAAAGUGAGAUCAGCUAUUUAAUCCAAACACCAGAAGAAUGCUACUCACAUAAGCUGAUUUGUUUUCCAGAAUAUGAGACUGGAUCUGCUCAUAUAUGAGGAAGCAAAAUGCAAAGCCCUUGAUUAUGGUCUGACUACUGUUCCAGUGCAGACGUGGAGGGUGAGUUGGCAAUCUCCUCAGAGAUGGAGCAACUACAGACAGCUCUUUUUUUUGAUAAUCUUCCUGACACUUGGAUGAGACUGGCUUAUCCAUCAACAUACAGUUGCUCAGUGGAGUCUCCUGAGUAAGGCAAAGAGCCACUGACUGAUGGAGUGAAUGAGGACUGGAGAGCUGACCAAAGGACAGGAAAGCUCUGCCAAGCACAAAGACAGGUAGCACUAGAAGGCAAAACAAGCCCACUCUUCUGAGAUCAGUACAGACUUCUGAGAGAUCAAAAGUGGAAGAAGAAAUCUUGUUCAUCAGAAGACACAUUGAGAAGAGCAUCAGAGGUGAGAAAGGGAUAGCUGUCAACAGGAUGUGGAUGAAAGCACCAGUAACUAAUUUGGAAAAGAUCUAGCACCAGAAUAAAUGUACAACAGCUUACCAGGCUGAGAGAGGACAGGAUCUGCUGGUCUGAAUGAUGGUUUGAUCUGUUACGAUGGGAGUGAAGUCUUCAGUUUGAAAAACAUUAUUCUGCUUCCUGGGUCUGCAAAAGACAGGACCAGACUGCAAGGGAAAGCCUGGAGAGGAUUUCCAUGCUUUAAAAAGAGAAACAGGGGAAGACUGAAUUUCCUGAGGUCACUGAGGAAACGCAUGGCAGCGCUAGGAAAAGAAGCACUCGAGCAGCCGAGAUACCAUCUUCACAGCCAAAAACAGAUAGGUUUUCUCUGCAGUGUGACAUAACAGCAAAGACAGAGCAGUUUAACCAUUCCGGUGCAGUGAACAACUUCCGCGCUGCUGUGAGCUUGACUCCCAGCCUCAAGAUCUCACCCUCCCUAGUGUUGUCUGGAUAUCAAUUUUUUUCAACCCCCAGUCCUUCCUCACAGGUGUGGAGGAACCUCAGUCUCACCAACACUGGAUGAAAAAUACCUGUGUUUCCAGAUAGGCUGUCAAACAAAGCAUAACCUCCCUCAUCUCACUAGUGGUGGGAUUUGGUGGCACUUGCCGAAUGAUCUUCACACAAAGAGCAACUACAAGACAGCUUCUCUCCCCUGUUUGUAUUUUCCCAGAAACACACUAACCACAGCACUGCAGAGCUCAGUACAACUACAGAUCCACAAAUAUUAUUGAGCUCUUCCUCUGUUAUGUCCUCAACUGGGCGCACAACGUGUGGAAAAGCCAUGGCA